Molecule: long non-coding RNA, 246 nt
Organism: Candoia aspera
Lineage: Eukaryota; Metazoa; Chordata; Lepidosauria; Squamata; Candoiidae
Exons: 3
Source: RefSeq, a predicted model, not a curated record
AGCAAUGUGCCACCAGGCACCCUCUGGGAAUCGGAGUUUCUUGAUGAGAGCUUCCUAGCAUGUCAGAACACCUGCAACGCCACGGCUUGUCAAAUGCUCACCAACAUGGUCAUCCUCAGAGCCUUCUCUUUACGCACCAGGGCUUACGAUCUUUACGCCAAGGCCAAGAGCCAAGACCUCCGAAAGCUUUGGUACGGUCGCACCACCAGACCUUUUCCUACUGUGGCUUUUGGGAAGCAUUCUAAG